RNAcentral lists this ribosomal RNA (201 nucleotides) under uncultured bacterium. Its description in RNAcentral is "partial 16S ribosomal RNA". It matches the Rfam family "Bacterial small subunit ribosomal RNA", at positions 524 to 723 of the family's 1533-position model. The record is from RNAcentral.
UACGUAGGUGGCAAGCGUUGUCCGGAUUUACUGGGCGUAAAGAGCGCGCAGGCGGUCGUUCUAAGUCGCGUGUGAAAGCCCCCGGCUCAACUGGGGAGGGUCACGCGAUACUGAUCGACUCGGAAGGCAGGAGAGGGUAGUGGAAUUCCCGUGUAGUGGUGAAAUGCGUAGAUAUCGGGAGGAACACCAGUGGCGAAGGCG